GUCUUUCGGUCGUUGUCUCUCCUGCGCUCCACUGGCAACGCGGCCGUAAAUCAACCGGAAAAACACGGGAAACGGCUCAUUAGCUGGAGGCAGCUAACAGGAGAGGGGGGUGGAGGAGGAGGAGGGUAGGAACCAGAGCUCAACCCCUGACCCUGUGACCUCUGACCUCUGACCUCUGCAGCGGCUGAUCCAGUCCAUAUGAGAGACUCCUGACUGUGACCAGCCAUGACCUUUUUCGGCAGCUCUCAUGACCACAUACACAGAUUCAGUAGUAAAAUGGCAUUGUUGUUAUCCUGGUGAUUUGCUCAGGAUCCAGUGCACUGCUAGCACCACCUGAAACUUGAACCCCCAUGAGCUCGGACAUAUUUUUAUUCAAAGAACUUCUCCCCUGAGUGUGGGAAUGGAAAUAAAAACAGAACCUGAGACAAUGGCUACAUGUUACAUUAGAUUUCCCCAAGUUCCUAUAAAAGAGGUAAUUGUUAACA
Micropterus dolomieu (smallmouth bass) is the source of this 485-nucleotide long non-coding RNA. RefSeq lists it as uncharacterized. The record is from RefSeq and is a predicted model, not a curated record. The transcript is spliced from 3 exons. NCBI's taxonomy places the organism in Eukaryota, Metazoa, Chordata, Actinopteri, Centrarchiformes, Centrarchidae.